UCGAGGAUAUUUAGCAAUGGGGGAAACCCUGACUAUGUGACGCCGCGUGAGGGAUGAAGUAUUUCGGUACGUAAACCUCUUUCGACGGGAAAGAAGUGGUGCACCAUAACAUGGUGCACCAUUGACGGUACCCGAAGAAGAAGCCACGGCCAACUCCGUGCCAGCAGCCGCGGUAAUACGGGGGUGGCGAGCGUUACUCGGAUUUAUUGGGUGUAAAGGGCAGGUAGGCGUCCCGGCAAGUUAGAAGUGAAAUCCUAAGGCUUAACCUUAGAACUGCUUCUAAAACUGCCGGGAUUGAGGCUGGGAGAAGAGAGCGGAAUUCCCGGUGUAAGGGUGAAAUCUGUAGAUAUCGGGAGGAACACCAGAGGCGAAAGCGGCUCUCUAGCCUAGUUCUGACGCU
Molecule: ribosomal RNA, 400 nt
Filed under: uncultured bacterium
Lineage: Bacteria
Description: bacterial SSU rRNA
Rfam family: Bacterial small subunit ribosomal RNA
Source: RNAcentral